Molecule: long non-coding RNA, 1381 nt
Organism: Acyrthosiphon pisum (pea aphid)
Lineage: Eukaryota; Metazoa; Arthropoda; Insecta; Hemiptera; Aphididae
Exons: 4
Source: RefSeq, a predicted model, not a curated record
UAACGACCGCUGAUAACAAAGAGAAACAUCUUGACUGACUAGAUAGUAAGAUUAUCUGUAAUUAGUAUUCUGUCUUAUUCGCAUUUCGCAUUGAUUUUUUCAUUUUUGGACGUUACAAUUAUAAUUUUUUUCAACGUAAUGUAAUAACUAAUAAUCAACAACAAGAGCAUAAUUGAAUAUAUAUUUUUUAUGAUAUAAUGGUUUACAGAUCUGUCCUAACACUCCCACACCCCAAAUCAAUUUGAAAUUGGAUAUUAUCUUUCAAUGGUGAACCCGGAUUACUAUACAAUUUGUUUAACUUUUGAUGCAAUGUCAUCUGUAUUGUUUUCUUGGAAAUGAUUUGCAACUUGAAGUACUUUAAUCAGACAGAAGCAACUGAGGCGUUAAUGUUCAAUGUCCAUGCUAAUUAAUUUAAAAUGUUUAAAUAGCAAAUGGAAACUUCCAAUUGGUUAUUUUUGCCAAAAUUUUAGUCUUGGCUCAAUGGAAAGAAACAUAGCGAUAUGACAAGAAGUUGCUCCCUAGUCCCCUACGCAUGCCGCAGUGGUCUUACAACUCAAGAUUGGGACUAGGUCCUUUUUCCUACGGGGAAUUAAAAUAGUCCACAAAACAACUCGUGCCGGACUAGGUGGUGGAUCAAUAUAAGUUUGUGUUGGGCAGUUUAUGCAGCAGAGAGAAACUUCGAAACAUACAUAAUUUAUAAUUAUUAUAGUAUUAGAUCGCGAUGUUCGGAUGUUAUACAGCUUCAAAAUAUGAAGGAUAUUGAAUAUUAUAGGUAUAAUUUAUUUAUAUGUAUGUCUAUGGACGUCACACCUGCAGCAUGCGUACGACAUAGACAAAACGCGUUUUUGCAGUGUGUGUAGAGCUUGCUCAAUUUUGUUUGUUGAGUAAAAAUAACUAUUAUAAAAUUGAAUUGUGACAAUAUUUCUGAGGGAAAAUGGUUGUUUUUUCAUUAUACCCAAUAUAACGUUCAUUAUAUCGUUUAGAAAUUUAACUUUUUUUUAAAGACCUUUAACUUUUCAACAUUUAAAUUUUUUAAAAAAAAAAACGCAAUGACUUGCCCUCAGAAAUAUUAUCACAAUAAAUUCAAUUUUAUAAUAGUUAUUACGCGUUUUGUCUUGUAAGUGUGUAAGACGCGGAGACAACACGUGCGGGUGUAACGUCAUCUUAAUGAAUGAAUUUUUCCAUUAUAUAUCUAUAUAGAACAGAAAAUAAUGAAGUUAAAAUAUGUAUAAUAUAAUGAUGAAAUGUAUGAUAUUCUUAAUAAGUCACAUAAAUAAACAGGAUAUGGACGCAUCACGGUGACAUGGUAGAGUAGCAUAAACUACAUAAAAUUAUUUAUAAUUUAAAAAAUAAUUACGUUCAAAUAUAUAUAUAUAUAUCA